UCCUGGCUCAUGAUGAACGCUGGCGGCGUGCCUAACACAUGCAAGUCGAGCGAUCUUCUUCGGAAGAGAGCGGCGGACGGGUGAGUAACGCGUGGGUAACCUGCCCUGUACACACGGAUAACAUACCGAAAGGUAUGCUAAUACGAGAUAAUGUGUUUUUGUCGCACGGUAGAAGUAUCAAAGCUUUUGCGGUACAGGAUGGACCCGCGUCUGAUUAGCUAGUUGGUAAGGUAACGGCUUACCAAGGCGACGAUCAGUAGCCGACCUGAGAGGGUGAUCGGCCACAUUGGAACUGAGACACGGUCCAAACUCCUACGGGAGGCAGCAGUGGGGAAUAUUGCACAAUGGGCGAAAGCCUGAUGCAGCAACGCCGCGUGAGCGAUGAAGGCCUUCGGGUCGUAAAGCUCUGUCCUCAAGGAAGAUAAUGACGGUACUUGAGGAGGAAGCCCCGGCUAACUACGUGCCAGCAGCCGCGGUAAUACGUAGGGGGCUAGCGUUAUCCGGAAUUACUGGGCGUAAAGGGUGCGUAGGUGGUUUCUUAAGUCAGAGGUGAAAGGCUACGGCUCAACCGUAGUAAGCCUUUGAAACUGGGAAACUUGAGUGCAGGAGAGGAGAGUGGAAUUCCUAGUGUAGCGGUGAAAUGCGUAGAUAUUAGGAGGAACACCAGUUGCGAAGGCGGCUCUCUGGACUGUAACUGACACUGAGGCACGAAAGCGUGGGGAGCAAACAGGAUUAGAUACCCUGGUAGUCCACGCCGUAAACGAUGAGUACUAGCUGUCGGAGGUUACCCCCUUCGGUGGCG
Molecule: ribosomal RNA, 802 nt
Filed under: uncultured bacterium
Lineage: Bacteria
Description: bacterial SSU rRNA
Rfam family: Bacterial small subunit ribosomal RNA
Source: RNAcentral